GACGAACGCUGGCGGCGUGCUUAACACAUGCAAGUCGAACGGAAAGGCCCUGCUUUUGUGGGGUGCUCGAGUGGCGAACGGGUGAGUAACACGUGAGUAACCUGCCCUUGACUUUGGGAUAACUUCAGGAAACUGGGGCUAAUACCGGAUAGGAGCUCCUGCUGCAUGGUGGGGGUUGGAAAGUUUCGGCGGUUGGGGAUGGACUCGCGGCUUAUCAGCUUGUUGGUGGGGUAGUGGCUUACCAAGGCUUUGACGGGUAGCCGGCCUGAGAGGGUGACCGGCCAAAUGGGGACUGAGAUACGGCCCAGACUCAUAAGGGAGGAAGAAGUGGGGAAUAUAGCAAAAUGGGCGGAAGCCUGAUGCAGGAACGCCGCGUGCGGGAUGACGGCCUUCGGGUUGUAAACCGCUUUCGCCUGUGACGAAGCGUGAGUGACGGUAAUGGGUAAAGAAGCACCGGCUAACUACGU
This 467-nucleotide ribosomal RNA is filed under the name uncultured bacterium. RNAcentral describes it as "partial 16S ribosomal RNA". It matches the Rfam family "Bacterial small subunit ribosomal RNA", at positions 28 to 506 of the family's 1533-position model. The record is from RNAcentral.